UACUGGCUCAGGAUGAACGCUAGCUACAGGCUUAACACAUGCAAGUCGAGGGGCAGCAUUGGAGUAGCAAUACUUCAGAUGGCGACCGGCGCACGGGUGAGUAACACGUAUCCAACCUGCCGCUUACUCGGGGAUAGCCUUUCGAAAGAAAGAUUAAUACCCGAUGGUAUAAAGAGUUCGCAUGUUCUCUUUAUUAAAGAGUUUCGGUAAGCGAUGGGGAUGCGUUCCAUUAGAUAGUUGGCGGGGUAACGGCCCACCAAGUCUACGAUGGAUAGGGGUUCUGAGAGGAAGGUCCCCCACAUUGGAACUGAGACACGGUCCAAACUCCUACGGGAGGCAGCAGUGAGGAAUAUUGGUCAAUGGACGAGAGUCUGAACCAGCCAAGUAGCGUGAAGGAUGACUGCCCUAUGGGUUGUAAACUUCUUUUAUAAGGGAAUAAAGUGAGGGACGUGUCCCUUUUUGUAUGUACCUUAUGAAUAAGGAUCGGCUAACUCCGUGCCAGCAGCAGC
Molecule: ribosomal RNA, 509 nt
Filed under: uncultured bacterium
Lineage: Bacteria
Description: bacterial SSU rRNA
Rfam family: Bacterial small subunit ribosomal RNA
Source: RNAcentral